This 385-nucleotide ribosomal RNA is filed under the name uncultured bacterium. RNAcentral's name for it is "bacterial SSU rRNA". It matches the Rfam family "Bacterial small subunit ribosomal RNA", at positions 29 to 417 of the family's 1533-position model. The record is from RNAcentral.
AUUUGAACGCUGGCGGCAUGCCUUACACAUGCAAGUCGAACGGCAGCACGGGAGCAAUCCUGGUGGCGAGUGCGACGGUGAGUAGUAUAUCGGAACGUGCCCAGUAGUGGGGGAUAGCCCGGCGAAAGCCGGAUUAAUACCGCAUACGACCUGAGGGUGAAAGCGGGGGAUCGCAAGACCUCGCGCUAUUGGAGCGGCCGAUAUCAGAUUAGCUAGUUGGUGGGGUAAAGGCCUACCAAGGCUACGAUCUGUAGUUGGUCUGAGAGGACGACCAGCCACACUGGGACUGAGACACGGCCCAGACUCCUACGGGAGGCAGCAGUGGGGAAUUUUGGACAAUGGGCGCAAGCCUGAUCCAGCAAUGCCGCGUGCAGGAAGAAGGCCU